This 80-nucleotide transfer RNA is filed under the name Escherichia coli O157:H7 str. EC4196. RNAcentral's name for it is "tRNA-Arg". It matches the Rfam family "tRNA". Rfam says of the family: Transfer RNA (tRNA) molecules are approximately 80 nucleotides in length. Their secondary structure includes four short double-helical elements and three loops (D, anti-codon, and T loops). Further hydrogen bonds mediate the characteristic L-shaped molecular structure. tRNAs have two regions of fundamental functional importance: the anti-codon, which is responsible for specific mRNA codon recognition, and the 3' end, to which the tRNAs corresponding amino acid is attached (by aminoacyl-tRNA synthetases). tRNAs cope with the degeneracy of the genetic code in two manners: having more than one tRNA (with a specific anti-codon) for a particular amino acid; and 'wobble' base-pairing, i.e. permitting non-standard base-pairing at the 3rd anti-codon position. The record is from RNAcentral. Lineage: Bacteria; Pseudomonadati; Pseudomonadota; Gammaproteobacteria; Enterobacterales; Enterobacteriaceae.
UGCGUUUUUAGCUCAGCAGGACAGAGCAAUUGCCUUCUAAGCAAUCGGUCACUGGGUUCGACUCCAGUACAACGCGCCAC